RNAcentral lists this transfer RNA (69 nucleotides) under Aseraggodes kobensis (milky spotted sole). Its description in RNAcentral is "tRNA-Ile". It matches the Rfam family "tRNA". From Rfam's summary of the family: Transfer RNA (tRNA) molecules are approximately 80 nucleotides in length. Their secondary structure includes four short double-helical elements and three loops (D, anti-codon, and T loops). Further hydrogen bonds mediate the characteristic L-shaped molecular structure. tRNAs have two regions of fundamental functional importance: the anti-codon, which is responsible for specific mRNA codon recognition, and the 3' end, to which the tRNAs corresponding amino acid is attached (by aminoacyl-tRNA synthetases). tRNAs cope with the degeneracy of the genetic code in two manners: having more than one tRNA (with a specific anti-codon) for a particular amino acid; and 'wobble' base-pairing, i.e. permitting non-standard base-pairing at the 3rd anti-codon position. The record is from RNAcentral. Lineage: Eukaryota; Metazoa; Chordata; Actinopteri; Pleuronectiformes; Soleidae.
GGAGCUGUGCCUGAAUAAAGGACCACUUUGAUAGAGUGAACAAUGAGGGUUAAAGCCCCUCCAACUCCU